AAAAUUCCCUACUGAAAUAUUUUCAGAAUGGGUAAAGUUAGACAUCUUUUAUUACGGACUCACAGAUAUGGCUAAGAUGUCCUUAGCCCAUUCUGCUGGUGUUUCAAUCCACAUGAAAAAAAGACAAUUAAGGAAGCUCACGAGCUCAUUGAGACAGUUGCC
Molecule: non-coding RNA, 162 nt
Organism: Arachis ipaensis
Lineage: Eukaryota; Viridiplantae; Streptophyta; Magnoliopsida; Fabales; Fabaceae
Source: RefSeq, a predicted model, not a curated record